AUGGAGGAUUGCACCAUUUGCGGGAACAUCUCUUCUCCAUUCCUGAAACAUCUCAGCAUUAUCUACUCUUCUUUCCGGACAGGCGCCUUCCGCGCCCGGAUCUAUUUGCCCAGCCUUGUAUCCCUCGAGCUAGACGGUUUUUUCGGUAGGACUCCGGUACUGAUUGAAAGCAUGCCACUGUUAACUUCGGCAAUUGUUAGAGUCAAUACAUGUCUUGAUUGUUGUCGUAAGAAUGACUAUGGAGGUUGCGAUGAUCGUCAAUGUGAUGGAUGUUAUGAAUCUGAAAGGGGUGCUCACGAUAGGCGUGGCGAGUCUGUGCUUUUGAAAGGAUUAUCACAAGUUGCCUCUUUGGAGUUGUGGGUUCAUCCUGAAGUGGUAUGCAUGCUUGCUCACACCUGCUUCUUCGGUUUGUGGGACUUGAGAUUGUGCCCAACAUUCAGCAAGUUAAAGACUUUGUUGCUCAGCAAAUGGUGCCCUGGCAUUGCUGGUGACCUCAAUAUAUUAAAUUGCUUCCUCAAACAUUCACCAAUUUUGGAGAAGCUCACUAUCCAGCUUUCUGAGGAACCUAAAGUUCCGGUGAAAAUACAAAGAAGUUACACUCCAUCAAAGCAAUCAUUUGCAUUCACCCAUCUGAAGAUCGUCGAGAUCAAAUGUGACAAAGUUGAUCGGUGGGCUCACAAGGCAUUGGACAUCUUGAGUACCUUCAACAUACCACUCGAGAAAGUUACAAUCCAGCGAGGAAAUAAAACUUCUGGAUCUUAA
RNAcentral lists this ribosomal RNA (762 nucleotides) under Triticum aestivum (bread wheat). Its description in RNAcentral is "partial small subunit ribosomal RNA". The record is from RNAcentral. Lineage: Eukaryota; Viridiplantae; Streptophyta; Magnoliopsida; Poales; Poaceae.